This 435-nucleotide ribosomal RNA is filed under the name uncultured bacterium. RNAcentral's name for it is "bacterial SSU rRNA". It matches the Rfam family "Bacterial small subunit ribosomal RNA", at positions 8 to 434 of the family's 1533-position model. The record is from RNAcentral.
AGAGUUUGAUCCUGGCUCAGAACGAACGUUGGCGGCGUGGAUUAGGCAUGCAAGUCGAACGAAUCCCAGCUUUGUAGCAAUACCGAGCUGGGGGAAGUGGCGAAAGGGGCAGUAAUGCGUGGGUAACCUACCUCGGGGACGUGGAUAGCCAUUCUAACGAGUGGGUAAUACGCGGCGAUUUGAUUGAGGGGCAUCCCUUGGUCAGGAAAUGAAUUUCGCCUCGCGAGGGGCUCACGUGAUAUUAGCUAGUUGGUAGGGUAACGGCCUACCAAGGCAAAGAUGUCUAGCGGGUGUGAGAGCACGACCCGCGCCACUGGCACUGAGACACUGGCCAGACACCUACGGGUGGCUGCAGUCGAGGAUCUUUGGCAAUGAGCGCAAGCUUGACCAAGCGACGCCGCGUGUGCGAUGAAGGCCUUCGGGUUGUAAAGCACU